RNAcentral lists this signal recognition particle RNA (278 nucleotides) under Rhinopithecus bieti (black snub-nosed monkey). RNAcentral describes it as "Metazoan signal recognition particle RNA (ENSRBIG00000002110.1)". It matches the Rfam family "Metazoan signal recognition particle RNA". From Rfam's summary of the family: The signal recognition particle (SRP) is a universally conserved ribonucleoprotein. It is involved in the co-translational targeting of proteins to membranes. Lineage: Eukaryota; Metazoa; Chordata; Mammalia; Primates; Cercopithecidae. The record is from RNAcentral.
GCCUAUAGUUCCACCUGUUUGGGAGGCUGAGGUAGGAGGAUCACUUGAGUCUAGAAGUUAUGGCUAUAGUGUGCUCUGCCAAUUGAGUGUCCACACUAAGUUCAGCAUCAAUAUGGUGACCUCCUGGGGUGGAGGACCACCAGGUUGUCUUAAGAAGGGUGAAUCAACAUGGGGCAGAAACAGAGCAGGUCAAAACUCCCAUUCUGAUCAGUAGUGGGAUUGCACCUGUGAAUAGUCAUUGAACUUCAGCCUGGGCAACACAGUGAGACCCUGUCUCU